GACAGAGGGUGCAAACGUUGUUUGGAAUUACUGGGCGUAAAGCGUGUGUAGGCGGUCUCAUAAGUCGGGUGUGAAAUCCCUGGGCUCAACCCAGGAAGUGCACUCGAAACUGCGAGGCUGGAGUACCGGAGAGGUUGGUGGAAUUCUCGGUGUAGAGGUGAAAUUCGUAGAUAUUGAGAGGAACACCGGUGGCGAAGGCGGCCAACUGGACGAGUACUGACGCUGAGACACGAAAGCGUGGGGAGCAAACAGG
Molecule: ribosomal RNA, 253 nt
Filed under: uncultured bacterium
Lineage: Bacteria
Description: partial 16S ribosomal RNA
Rfam family: Bacterial small subunit ribosomal RNA
Source: RNAcentral